CAGUAGCCACGGUAAAACGAGGGGUGCAAGCGUUACUCGGAAUUACUGGGCGUAAAGCGUGCGUAGGUGGUGGUUUAAGUCCGUUGUGAAAGCCCUGGGCUCAACCUGGGAAUUGCAGUGGAUACUGGGUCACUAGAGUGUGGUAGAGGAUAGUGGAAUUUCCGGUGUAGCAGUGAAAUGCGUAGAGAUCGGAGGGAACAUCUGUGGCGAAGGCGACUAUCUGGGCCAACACUGACACUGAGGCACGAAAGCGUGGGGAGCAAACAGGAUUAGAUACCCGUGUAGUCCCUGUCUCUUAUAC
RNAcentral lists this ribosomal RNA (301 nucleotides) under uncultured bacterium. RNAcentral describes it as "partial 16S ribosomal RNA". It matches the Rfam family "Bacterial small subunit ribosomal RNA", at positions 509 to 807 of the family's 1533-position model. The record is from RNAcentral.